CGGGAAACCGGGGCUAAUACCGGAUAAUACAUGAAACCGCAUGGUUUCAUGAUGAAAGACGGUUUUGCUGUCACUUAUAGACGGACCCGCGGCGUAUUAGCUAGUUGGUAAGGUAACGGCUUACCAAGGCAACGAUACGUAGCCGACCUGAGAGGGUGAUCGGCCACACUGGAACUGAGACACGGUCCAG
RNAcentral lists this ribosomal RNA (190 nucleotides) under uncultured Staphylococcus sp. Its description in RNAcentral is "partial 16S ribosomal RNA". It matches the Rfam family "Bacterial small subunit ribosomal RNA", at positions 150 to 334 of the family's 1533-position model. The record is from RNAcentral. Lineage: Bacteria; Bacillati; Bacillota; Bacilli; Caryophanales; Staphylococcaceae.